AACAUGUCCUCACAUGCUUAUGGGUUGACCAACGCCACUCUGCAAUAUCUCUCUCUGCUGCCUGCCAGUAUUGAGGAGUGUAUAUAAUUCUACACCACUGCUUCGCCUCCUUGGCUUGUGUAUACACACACACACGCACACACACACACACACACACACACACACACACGGAAACAAAAACAAUCACAAACACACAUGUAUAUAGCUAUAUGCUGUUCUACACGGCUCCUCUGUGACCAAUCUACACAGGUGUAAUGGACAGCUGUAACUGACCAACAGAUGUGUAUACACAAUACAUAUAUAUACAUACAUACAUAUACGCAUAGAUAUACAACACGGCGAAAGUGGACAAGAAAUUUUGGAAUUACUAUCAAUGUGAAACUGACCAAUGGACAGAGAUAAACUUCAUCACCACCACCACCAACAACAACAACAACAUCAUCAUCAUCAUCACCACUGACAAUAACAACAGCAACAGAACUCUACAAAAAUGAGUGAUCGUCAACAAUU
Long non-coding RNA from Octopus bimaculoides (California two-spot octopus), 510 nucleotides. Lineage: Eukaryota; Metazoa; Mollusca; Cephalopoda; Octopoda; Octopodidae. The record is from RefSeq and is a predicted model, not a curated record.